RNAcentral lists this small RNA (77 nucleotides) under Rummeliibacillus stabekisii. Its description in RNAcentral is "BsrC". The stretch from base 13 to 77 matches the Rfam family "BsrC", at positions 25 to 87 of the family's 87-position model. Rfam says of the family: The 301 nucleotide sequence from Kouji Nakamura has been trimmed to a highly conserved ~85 nucleotide long core to form this family. The record is from Rfam by way of RNAcentral. Lineage: Bacteria; Bacillati; Bacillota; Bacilli; Caryophanales; Caryophanaceae.
UAGAUGUAAAAAACCUCUAUUUCAUCCUUACAGCUCGCCUUGUCCGUACCAGUGUGAAUUAGGGUUGCAAAAAUCAA